AGCGUAGACGGAUGGACAAGUCUGAUAUGAAAGGCUGGGGCUCAACCCCGGGACUGCAUUGGAAACUGCCCGUCUUGAGUGCCGGAGAGGUAAGCGGAAUUCCUAGUGUAGCGGUGAAAUGCGUAGAUAUUAGGAGGAACACCAGUGGCGAAGGCGGCUUACUGGACGGUAACUGACGUUGAGGCUCGAAAGCGUGGGGAGCAAACA
RNAcentral lists this ribosomal RNA (207 nucleotides) under uncultured bacterium. Its description in RNAcentral is "partial 16S ribosomal RNA". It matches the Rfam family "Bacterial small subunit ribosomal RNA", at positions 568 to 774 of the family's 1533-position model. The record is from RNAcentral.